UAGGGAAUCUUCGGCAAUGGGGGGAACCCUGACCGAGCAACGCCGCGUGAGUGAAGAAGGUUUUCGGAUCGUAAAGCUCUGUUGUAAGAGAAGAACGAGUGUGAGAGUGGAAAGUUCACGCUGUGACGGUAUCUUACCAGAAAGGGACGGCUAACUACGUGCCAGCAGCCGCGGUAAUACGUAGGUCCCGAGCGUUAUCCGGAUUUAUUGGGCGUAAAGCGAGCGCAGGCGGUUAGAUAAGUCUGAAGUUAAAGGCUGUGGCUUAACCAUAGUACGCUUUGGAAACUGUUUAACUUGAGUGCAAGAGGGGAGAGUGGAAUUCCAUGUGUAGCGGUGAAAUGCGUAGAUAUAUGGAGGAACACCGGUGGCGAAAGCGGCUCUCUGGCUUGUAACUGACGCUGAGGCUCGAAAGCGUGGGGAGCAAACAGG
RNAcentral lists this ribosomal RNA (429 nucleotides) under uncultured bacterium. Its description in RNAcentral is "bacterial SSU rRNA". It matches the Rfam family "Bacterial small subunit ribosomal RNA", at positions 355 to 776 of the family's 1533-position model. The record is from RNAcentral.